GGUAAGGCCCUUUCGGGGGUACACGAGCGGCGAACGGGUGAGUAACACGUGGGUGAUCUGCCCUGCACUUCGGGAUAAGCCUGGGAAACUGGGUCUAAUACCGGAUAUGACCAAAGGCUGCAUGGCUUUUGGUGGAAAGGUUUACUGGUGCAGGAUGGGCCCGCGGCCUAUCAGCUUGUUGGUGGGGUAAUGGCCUACCAAGGCGACGACGGGUAGCCGACCUGAGAGGGUGACCGGCCACACUGGGACUGAGACACGGCCCAGACUCCUACGGGAGGCAGCAGUGGGGAAUAUUGCACAAUGGGCGAAAGCCUGAUGCAGCGACGCCGCGUGAGGGAUGACGGCCUUCGGGUUGUAAACCUCUUUCAGCAGGGACGAAGCGAAAGUGACGGUACCUGCAGAAGAAGCACCGGCCAACUACGUGCCAGCAGCCGCGGUAAUACGUAGGGUGCGAGCGUUGUCCGGAAUUACUGGGCGUAAAGAGCUCGUAGGCGGUUUGUCGCGUCGUCUGUGAAAACCAGCAGCUCAACUGCUGGCUUGCAGGCGAUACGGGCAGACUUGAGUACUGCAGGGGAGACUGGAAUUCCUGGUGUAGCGGUGAAAUGCGCAGAUAUCAGGAGGAACACCGGUGGCGAAGGCGGGUCUCUGGGCAGUAACUGACGCUGAGGAGCGAAAGCGUGGGUAGCGAACAGGAUUAGAUACCCUGGUAGUCCACGCCGUAAACGGUGGGCGCUAGGUGUGGGUUUCCUUCCACGGGAUCCGUGCCGUAGCUAACGCAUUA
Molecule: ribosomal RNA, 781 nt
Filed under: Rhodococcus canchipurensis
Lineage: Bacteria; Bacillati; Actinomycetota; Actinomycetes; Mycobacteriales; Nocardiaceae
Description: bacterial SSU rRNA
Rfam family: Bacterial small subunit ribosomal RNA
Source: RNAcentral